Molecule: ribosomal RNA, 548 nt
Filed under: uncultured bacterium
Lineage: Bacteria
Description: bacterial SSU rRNA
Rfam family: Bacterial small subunit ribosomal RNA
Source: RNAcentral
UAGGGAAUCUUCGGCAAUGGACGGAAGUCUGACCGAGCAACGCCGCGUGAGUGAAGAAGGUUUUCGGAUCGUAAAGCUCUGUUGUAAGAGAAGAACGAGUGUGAGAGUGGAAAGUUCACACUGUGACGGUAUCUUACCAAAAAGGGACGGCUAACUACGUGCCACCAGCCGCGGUAAUACGUAGGUCCCGAGCGUUGUCCGGAUUUAUUGGGCGUAAAGCGAGCGCAGGCGGUUAGAUAAGUCUGAAGUUAAAGGCUGUGGCUUAACCAUAAUACGCUUUGGAAACUGUUUAACUUGAGUGCAAGAGGGGAGAGUGGAAUUCCAUGUGUAGCGGUGAAAUGCGUAGAUAUAUGGAGGAACACCGGUGGCGAAAGCGGCUCUCUGGCUUGUAACUGACGCUGAGGCUCGAAAGCGUGGGGAGCAAACAGGAUUAGAUACCCUGGUAGUCCACGCCGUANCGAUGAGUGCUANNGUUAGACCCUUUCCGGGGUUUAGUGCCGCAGCUNACGCAUUAAGCACUCCGCCUGGGGAGUACGACCGCGNUGUUG